RNAcentral lists this microRNA precursor (85 nucleotides) under Pelodiscus sinensis (Chinese soft-shelled turtle). Its description in RNAcentral is "miRNA (ENSPSIG00000019750.1)". Lineage: Eukaryota; Metazoa; Chordata; Testudines; Trionychidae. The record is from RNAcentral.
AACGUGUUGUAAUGUAUGCUGAUGAACUCUGUGUAAUAGACAUAUUAUGUAUACACACACACAGACACACAGUUAUAUACACACA